CCUACGGGUGGCAGCAGUGGGGAAUAUUGCACAAUGGGGGAAACCCUGAUGCAGCGACGCCGCGUGAGCGAUGAAGUAUUUCGGUAUGUAAAGCUCUAUCAGCAGGGAAGAAGAUGACGGUACCUGACUAAGAAGCCCCGGCUAACUACGUGCCAGCAGCCGCGGUAAUACGUAGGGGGCAAGCGUUAUCCGGAUUUACUGGGUGUAAAGGGAGCGUAGACGGCGAUGCAAGCCAGAUGUGAAAGCCCGGGGCUCAACCCCGGGACUGCAUUUGGAACUGUGUGGCUGGAGUGUCGGAGAGGCAGGCGGAAUUCCUAGUGUAGCGGUGAAAUGCGUAGAUAUUAGGAGGAACACCAGUGGCGAAGGCGGCCUGCUGGACGAUGACUGACGUUGAGGCACGAAGGCCAGGGGAGCGAAAGGGAUUAGAUACCCGUGUAGUC
This 440-nucleotide ribosomal RNA is filed under the name uncultured bacterium. Its description in RNAcentral is "partial 16S ribosomal RNA". It matches the Rfam family "Bacterial small subunit ribosomal RNA", at positions 338 to 795 of the family's 1533-position model. The record is from RNAcentral.